Molecule: long non-coding RNA, 425 nt
Filed under: Pan paniscus (pygmy chimpanzee)
Lineage: Eukaryota; Metazoa; Chordata; Mammalia; Primates; Hominidae
Description: lncRNA (ENSPPAG00000045352.1)
Source: RNAcentral
AAUUUGUCUGUUGGGAGAUAAAAUAUUUAUAUAACUUUCCUGUUAUGUUCAAUCAUCACAGUACUACAGGUUUUUAUUCUUCUUUUUUUUUUUUGUCCUGGCUCUUCUUCAGGAACAUCAUCAUAUCAGGAACAGAAUGAUUCAAUCUGGCUUCAAGGAAAGGAAUUCAGCACUUUUCUCAAGAAAAUGGUGAUUGACAAAAUUAUCCUAAAGGUAGAGAAAUCCUGGAUUCCACUUCAUGUUUGUCUCAUCUGCCAGUGUGGGGAAGAAUCAAGAAAAGAAUUCAAGAGACAAUUUUGACACACACACGUAUCUCUAUGGCAACAUGAAACCUCCCAUAGAUAUGCCUGGAGCCGAAGCAAGGGUAAAUUUUAACACACCAAGACAGAAAGAAAGGUAAGAAAGCAAGCAAGCAAGAAAGAAAC